GGGAAAGGACCUCCAUGGGCUGAGAAG
RNAcentral lists this non-coding RNA (27 nucleotides) under Rattus norvegicus (Norway rat). Lineage: Eukaryota; Metazoa; Chordata; Mammalia; Rodentia; Muridae. The record is from RNAcentral.